CCCUUAGAUGUUCUGGGCCGCACGCGCGCUACAAUGAUGAAUUCAACGAGUUUAUAACCUUGGUUGAAAAGCCUGGGUAAUCUUUUGAACUUUCGUCGUGAUGGGGCUAGACCCUUGCAAUUAUUGGUCUCCAACGAGGAAUUCCUAGUAAACGCAAGUCAUCAGCUUGCAUUGAUUACGUCCCUGCCCUUUGUACACACCGCCCGUCGCACCUACCGAUUGAAUGGUCCGGUGAAAUCUUCGGACUGUGACUUUGAUUUGUUAACUCAAAACGCUGUUAUGGGAAGUUGAUUAAACCUUACCAUUUAGAGGAAGGUGAAGUCGUANCA
This 329-nucleotide ribosomal RNA is filed under the name uncultured eukaryote. Its description in RNAcentral is "partial 18S ribosomal RNA". It matches the Rfam family "Eukaryotic small subunit ribosomal RNA", at positions 1470 to 1796 of the family's 1831-position model. The record is from RNAcentral.